CCAGGUGAGGUAGGCGGGUCAAGCGGUUCAGAUGGGGACGGCUGCGGAUUUGCUGUUUUGUCCCAAACAGAGAACAGCUAUCCAUGGCGUUGUGGUCGCACCAAACGAGUAGGUGGCGGGUCUACUUAGAAGACAAAAAGCCUUUCCUCUAAUUCUAUGUUUGAAAAUGAGUUAAAAUUUUUUUAUAGCAGGACAAUAAUAGAGGCAGAUCUUGGUUGCCGGCUUAGACUUCCACUGCGCAAACGCCACCAUCAAUGCUUUCAGUGCAGGUCCCACCUUAGCCGGUGGACAUGGCAGGUGAUGAAUUCCUUUCCAGCUACUUUACCCCAUGACGAAUUCAAUCAACACACCAAUUUAAAAAACAAAAUAAUAAUAAUAAUGACGUUCAAAACUUUGUUAAUACGUGCUCCUCUUCUUAAUUAAAUAUGUCAAAUUUGAUCAUUAUAUUCUUAUCUAAGUUUAUGAUUAUUGUUGUUAAUUAUCAUAUUUUUUUUAUGAAGAUUGAGGUUGAAGAUGGUAUUUGUGCAAAACUUGCUUUUAUUCUCAUUUUUUUUUCUAAAAGCUAAGAAUUUUGCUACUAGGAGUUUCAAAGAUUCCAAAAUAAUUUGAAGAAAUAACAGGAUUAUCAGCGGAUGGUGCCGCACAAACAACACCAAGUAUGACGCAAGACAAAUGUAAAAGGAUGCCAUUAUUUCUAGUAAUAACCGGUUCUCAGCCACGCUGAUGAACCACCAACCCCCUCUUCCGAACAUCGUUAAUUCAAUAAACGUAAUCUUCAACAGCGGUCCGUAUUCCUAUAUCUCCUUCGAUCAGAACCAUCAAACGCAAGAUCAUGCAUUUGACGGCUGGAUAGGUAGAUCGCCGGUGACUCAGAAUCAAAGAGAGCAUGAACAAACAGAGAGAGGACGGAGAGAGAGAGAGAGAGAGAGAGUACGUACGUAGGUGUUGANNNNNNNNNNNNNNNNNNNNCAGAGAGAGGACGGAGAGAGAGAGAGAGAGAGAGAGUACGUACGUAGGUGUUGAGCUGGCGGACGAAGCUGGAGAAGUUGUUGUGCUUGAAGUGAGCCGGGAGGAGAUCCCUUGCGAACUCCACCGGCUUCCACACCACGAACGACC
RNAcentral lists this long non-coding RNA (1116 nucleotides) under Phoenix dactylifera (date palm). RNAcentral's name for it is "long non-coding RNA (PDAC_LNC002971)". The record is from RNAcentral. Lineage: Eukaryota; Viridiplantae; Streptophyta; Magnoliopsida; Arecales; Arecaceae.